UGUUACCGUCGUUACGCGACGUUCAUUUGUCGCGCGACAUUCGAUUGAGUCGUUUCUCGUCGAAUUCCGGUAUACGUCUGAAAUUUAGAAUUCAAUCCCGUGAAAUAUUGAUACCCCGUGUGGUUGAUAACAGUGAUAAUUAUCACGAUACGUAGGAUAAGUUGAGGAUACUGAGAAGUGGGGCUCAGUGAAUAUUUUAGGAGUUUUCUUUCAGUUACGAACUUAUCCGCGCUCACUUGUUUCUCUCGACUUUUUUCGAAUAGUACGUUGAUGUUUUUUUCGAACGAGUGAUGCUGUGAGCUUCCCGACGAUAAUCGCGAAAUUACGAUGCAAUCGUCGUCGUAAACUUUCUACUGGGAAAAGAUGAGAUUGCCCCGAAGGUGUUUUCUACAGUAGUGUGUUGUGCUGUGGUAAAAUCAAGUGCUGGUGAUAAUCGAAUUCUUCCAAACGCCUUCAGUUUUCGAGGACCAAAUAGAGUGAUGGCUGCCUGGAUGCAUUUUUGAGUACUUGCUUGAUUUUAAAAGUGCCGUCACUUGAUUCGAGAUCGUCACGCCGUCUUAGGACUGCUGACGACAGGAUUGGCAACACUGUUUCUCGUAAAGAGGCACUCGGCACAUAUUCAUUGCUUUUACUUUACCGCAGAACUGCGAAAGAUCCUUACAGUGAUCUGAAACAUCGAAAUGGUCUACCGGUUUACGCACUUCGAUGAUGUUUGACGUUAUAUUACCCCGUGAUAUACGAGUCGGGCACGGACUUCAUUAUCGGAGUCGAAGAGAUGCCCGAAGGACGAGGAGGAGAAGAAGUCGUGGGCACCCACAACAUCGUGAAAUUUUAAAUUUUGCAGCCCUGACCUAUAAGGAGCCGACUGCGCUAGUCCUCGGAAAAAAGGAGCGUAACCAUCGAGCUAAAGUUUCCCGUCUUUCCCCAGGAGGAGUUUCGAUGGAAGCAGGAUAUAGUGUUUUCACCCCGGAGCCAGCCAAGCCUCUGCCCACCGACUUGAGAGAGGAUGAGGAUACUAUGGAACGACGAAACAAGUUUUGGUACUAUUUUCGCCAAAGACAAACCUAUCAGCCACUCGUUUUAUGGAGGAUAAGGACAUCAGAAUACAUAGUACACGGUGAACGUACGCACAACGACGCUGGACGCUGUGGCUCGGGAAACUAGUGAUCUUCGGUAAAAUUGUGUGAGAUCUGUAUGUAUGUAUGUAUGUAUACAAUUAUGUGUGUGUGUUUCGUUUAUUAUGCCUAGUUCAUACAUAGCCGAGAGACCAUGAGUUGUACAAAACAAUUCAUAGAGUGAAAAAUAGUAUAUAUUAUGAAAAUGAAAUACAAUACAACAUGAAAACGAAAUAAAAGAUAGUACCAAUAUGUUUGCAUGAUAAAGUGCAGAUUUACAUGUAGUGCGGAUAUGCGUAUAAUAUAUACUGGUAAUUGUGAAUGAUUUUGAUAUUGUUACUAUAAUUUGUAAAAUUACUUUGUUGAUUACAGUAUUUAAUGAGUAACGUAGAUGUACACUACUUUUUUCUCGAGUAACUUUCU
Neodiprion virginianus is the source of this 1538-nucleotide RNA transcript. RefSeq lists it as uncharacterized. Lineage: Eukaryota; Metazoa; Arthropoda; Insecta; Hymenoptera; Diprionidae. The record is from RefSeq and is a predicted model, not a curated record. The transcript has 6 exons.